RNAcentral lists this transfer RNA (71 nucleotides) under Candidatus Woesebacteria bacterium RBG_16_39_8b. Its description in RNAcentral is "tRNA-Gln". It matches the Rfam family "tRNA". Rfam says of the family: Transfer RNA (tRNA) molecules are approximately 80 nucleotides in length. Their secondary structure includes four short double-helical elements and three loops (D, anti-codon, and T loops). The record is from RNAcentral. Lineage: Bacteria; Candidatus Woeseibacteriota.
UGGGAGGUCGUCUAACGGUAGGACAAUGGGCUUUGGCCCCAUUAAUCCAGGUUCGAAUCCUGGCCUCCCAG